Molecule: unclassified non-coding RNA, 82 nt
Filed under: Schizosaccharomyces pombe (fission yeast)
Lineage: Eukaryota; Fungi; Ascomycota; Schizosaccharomycetes; Schizosaccharomycetales; Schizosaccharomycetaceae
Source: RNAcentral
AUAAAAAUUAAUAAACGGUGAUUAAUGAGGAGUUGUUUCCUCGCCUUUUUUUUACCUACUGUAGUAAUUGUUAAUUGUGUUU